Molecule: small RNA, 6336 nt
Filed under: Pongo abelii (Sumatran orangutan)
Lineage: Eukaryota; Metazoa; Chordata; Mammalia; Primates; Hominidae
Description: retained intron
Source: RNAcentral
AGACAGAUGUGGGUCCAUGUUCUAGCCUUGCUCCGUGUCACCUUGAGCAAGUCACUUAACUUUGUUAAGCCUCAAUUUCUCAUCUACAGAAUGAGAAUAAUAACGAUUCUAAAGGGCCACCGUAAGAGUUAGAUGAGAAAACAUAAAGUUCUUGGUGCCUAAUCCCGCUCAGUAACGAUCAUUGUUGGUAUAGUGCUGUGCUCAAAGGUCACUGAGCGGUAGUGAUUAUGUAGCAUUCUGCAUAUAGGUGGUGUUCAGGCAUUGCUGUGACAGUUCCUCUCUCCUUCCUGCCUGACAGGUAUUCGCCAACUACAGCUCAUCCUAUUCAAGGUGGCCCUGAUGCUGGGAGUUGAAAUCCAUGUGAAUGUGGAGUUCGUGAAGGUUCUAGAGCCUCCUGAAGAUCAAGAAAACCAAAAAAUUGGCUGGCGGGCAGAGUUUCUCCCUACAGACCAUUCUCUGUCGGAGUUUGAGUUUGACGUCAUCAUUGGUGCCGAUGGCCGCAGGAACACCCUGGAAGGGUUCAGAAGAAAAGAAUUCCGUGGGAAGCUGGCGAUUGCCAUCACCGCCAACUUCAUAAACAGAAACAGCACAGCGGAAGCCAAGGUGGAAGAGAUUAGUGGCGUGGCUUUCAUCUUCAAUCAGAAAUUUUUUCAGGACCUUAAAGAAGAAACAGGCAUAGAUCUUGAGAACAUUGUUUACUACAAGGACUGCACCCACUAUUUUGUCAUGACAGCCAAGAAGCAGAGCCUGCUCGACAAAGGUGUCAUCAUUAACGACUACAUCGACACAGAGAUGCUGCUGUGUGCGGAGAACGUGAACCAAGACAACCUGCUAUCCUAUGCCCGGGAAGCUGCAGACUUUGCCACCAACUACCAGCUGCCAUCCUUAGACUUUGCCAUGAACCACUAUGGGCAGCCUGAUGUGGCCAUGUUUGACUUUACCUGCAUGUAUGCCUCAGAGAAUGCGGCCCUGGUGCGGGAGCGGCAGGCGCACCAGCUGCUCGUGGCCCUCGUGGGUGACAGCUUGCUUGAGCCAUUUUGGCCCAUGGGUACAGGCUGUGCCCGUGGCUUCCUGGCAGCCUUUGACACGGCAUGGAUGGUGAAGAGCUGGAACCAGGGCACCCCUCCCCUGGAGCUGCUGGCUGAAAGGGAAAGUCUCUACCGGCUGUUACCUCAGACAACCCCGGAGAACAUCAACAAGAACUUUGAGCAGUACACGUUGGACCCAGGGACACGGUACCCAAACCUCAACUCACACUGUGUCAGGCCCCAUCAGGUGAAGCAUUUGUAUAUCACUAAGGAGCUGGAGCACUACCCUCUCGAGAGACUGGGCUCAGUGAGGAGAUCUGUCAACCUCUCCAGGAAGGAGUCAGAUAUCCGGCCCAGCAAGCUCCUAACCUGGUGCCAGCAGCAGACAGAGGGCUACCAGCAUGUCAACGUCACCGACCUGACCACAUCCUGGCGCAGUGGGUUGGCCCUGUGUGCCAUCAUCCACCGCUUCCGGCCUGAGCUCAUCAACUUUGACUCUUUGAAUGAAGAUGAUGCUGUGGAGAACAACCAGCUCGCAUUUGAUGUGGCUGAGCGAGAGUUUGGGAUCCCUCCAGUGACCACGGGCAAAGAGAUGGCGUCUGCCCAGGAGCCUGACAAGCUCAGCAUGGUCAUGUACCUCUCCAAGUUCUACGAGCUCUUCCGGGGCACCCCACUGAGGCCCGUAGAUUCUUGGCGCAAAAACUAUGGAGAAAAUGCUGACCUCAGCUUGGCCAAAUCAUCCAUUUCUAAUAACUAUCUCAACCUUACAUUUCCAAGGAAGAGGACUCCACGAGUGGAUGGUCAAACCGGAGAGAAUGACAUGAACAAACGGAGGCGGAAGGGCUUCAAUAACCUGGACGAGCCUUCAAACUUUUCCAGCCUUAGCUUGGGCUCCAAUCAAGAGUGUGGGAGCAGUAAGGAAGGCGGAAAUCAGAAUAAAGUCAAGUCCAUGGCGAAUCAGCUGCUGGCCAAGUUUGAGGAGAGCACUCGGAACCCCUCACUCAUGAAGCAGGAAUCUAUGCGAAAGUCAUUUCCCCUUAACCUGGGAGGCAGCGACAUGUGUUACUUCUGUAAGAAGCGUGUGUAUGUGAUGGAACGGCUGAGCGCUGAGGGCCACUUCUUCCACCGGGAGUGUUUCCGCUGCAGCGUCUGUGCCACCACCUUGCGCCUGGCCGCCUACACCUUUGACUGCGAUGAAGGCAAAUUUUACUGCAAGCCUCACUUCAUUCACUGUAAAACCAAUAGCAAACAACGGAAGAGACGGGCAGAGUUGAAGCAACAAAGAGAGGAGGAGGCGACAUGGCAAGAGCAGGAAGCCCCUCGGAGAGACACUCCCACUGAAAGUUCUUGCGCAGUGGCCGCCAUUGGCACCCCGGAAGGCAGCCCCCCAGGUAUCUCCACCUCCUUCUUUAGGAAGGUGCUGGGCUGGCCCCUCAGGCUGCCGAGGGACCUGUGUAACUGGAUGCAGGGACUCCUGCAAGCCGCUGGCCUCCAUAUCAGGGACAAUGCUUACAACUACUGUUACAUGUACGAGCUCCUGAGCCUGGGGCUGCCACUCCUCUGGGCGUUCUCUGAGGUCCUGGCAGCCAUGUACAGGGAAUCUGAGGGCUCCCUCGAGAGCAUCUGCAACUGGGUGCUCAGGUGCUUCCCAGUCAAGCUCCGCUGACACGGCUGGCCGCCCCAAAGUGCCUUCACAUUACCGGGGAGGCUUCAGAUGGCAGUGCGUUUGCAGUUUGCUCAGGCUUUGGCCAGGAAGCCUAGCAUUCUUUAAGCAAUUAGCUCAAAGCCAAAGAGUUUCACAUGGGCCACCUCUGCCUGGCCUUAUCAGGGUGAACAUCUACUCAUGGUGCUAGGGCCAGGGACGAUAUGAAGGAUCUUUUCUAUAGCUUUGUACUUUUAUAUAUAUAUAUACACCAAAGUGAGCCAUACUUCUGGGUUUACAUUUCAAUUUUUUUAAUUUUAAUAAGCCUAGAGAAAGCAUUUUUUUCUAUGAGUGUCAAUUUUUCUAAACAUGGGUUUGAAACUUAUAACCAGUUUUAUAAACCCCUUGAACAUUGCAGUGAGUUAUCAGAGCCACUGCCAGCAAAGUGGAUGAUUUAAGACUUUACACACAUGCAAGUGAGUGUGCCAUCUCCUGACCAGUGCCUUUUGACUAGGUACCCAGAUGCCACUUGUCAGCAGCAGGAUACUUUUUACAACAUGAAAGCAUAAUUAUUUUAGAAGAAGAGAGUAGAAGGGCAGAAUAGAAUUCAACUUACAAAAGCACGGAGUAGUGUGCGGUUGGCUGUUAUCUGUCCCCCUGGGGGGAGGACUGUUUUGCUCCCUUGUUUUGAUGUUAAAUAGUAGCUUAAAGCCUUUCUCCCCCAUACCAACUCACAGCCAAAUGACAAAGAACCGUGGGGUUUCAACAGAUUCUACAAACAUGCAUUUUCUCUUCCCACUAAUGGGCGCUGCAGUGAAAGCCCAGUGGCAUUUGACCAUGGAGCUGAUGCAGUGCUGAAGAUGAGCUCUUUCAGCUGAUGGCAUUUUAGCCCCUGUGGCUCCCAGCAGAUCCCCCAGCCCAGGCUGCAGGCUGAGCCAAGGCUGUGCAGGGUCCAUAUUGGUCAGGCCGAGUGGAGUGGAAGACUCUGUCCACUCACGUGGUGUCCUUUGAGACUGAUGGGGUUUGUUAGCACGUCAGGCUAUUGCUGGGAAGUGUGGCCUGCCCAGUGAGCAUUGCCUGUGGACAUCCUGACUGCUUAGCUGCUCUGCUGCCGUGCAUAUGUGGUUAAAACAGAAACCAUUUUCACACUGCCCUGGGAAAGGAAUGGGUCUGACCUCUAGGGGAAGCUCUACCAUAUCUUGACUGGCAGGGAAGGCUGGGAGUGGAAGCUAUUUAUGGACUGAUCCAAAGGAAAUAUGCAUUAGUGAAGGUAAAAAUGAGCAUGCAGGUCCACCUACAUUCUUCACUCUGGGUAUCUAGAAGAGUCCUCAGCUCUCCCUACUCCACACUGCCUAGACAUACACAGCUGCAGGGUCUGGCUGAACAAUCAAGGGGCUGCCAGAGAAGGGCCAUCUAUGGUGCUCAGUGUAUCUGGAGUUGCUGGGCCCAAGAUAGCUCUGUGCAGUUAUCACUAGAGAUGCCUCUGGAUUAACUAAGAGGUGUGCCUGGGUGUGGGUGAGGAGCCAGAACCUUUGAGAGCUUUGAGAUGACAGUUUCUAUGGGGCGGGAAGAAAGGAGGAGGUACAUUUCUACAAACACUUCCCUGAAAUCCUCGGGAAAAACAGAGGCAUGGCCGUGGCCAACUCUGUGGGAACCGGCGCCUCUGUCCUUGUUGGCACUGUUCUCAGUCCGAUGACUUGCAUUGUGUUUUCUCCAAUUUUUGCUGGGAUUUUAAUGUUCAGCGUGGUGGGAGGAACCCUUGAUUCCUUUUGUUUGAGUAUAGAAAGUAAAUUCUCGAGGUCAUGAUGUGAACGGCCAUGUUAUUGUGAUUAUCUUCAGCUCAGGAUAGGCUGAGAUGCUUUGUGGAGUGUUCCAUGAAGCCAGAGUCGGAAUCUGACUGUCAUGUACAGCCAUAAGGAGACUGGUUUGAAUUACUGUGGUGAGACAGGGUGUGCCUGUCGGAAAUCUGAGAUGUUUGUAUGCUCUGAGAUAUUGAACCUUUCUGGUGGGCAGCACCAACACCCAGGGGUGGACCCCAGAGGAUGAAUGCCUCUAGGCCUCCGCAACACAUUCAAGAAUGAAUAGGAGACGCUAGAGUAAAAUGGGGGCAGAGACGAUAUCAGGGAGCAAGAUGCAAACUGUGUGCAUCCACUCUUGUAAACAAGUAGCUGGUCACAACCAGAAAGGUUCAUCUCUCCUAGCAAAUGACGACUCUUUCAGAGGAAGUUUCCCUAUUUCAAUAGUUGCCUUAUUUUCAACUCCGGUGCCUUCUCGUGAUGUUAAUCAUUUCCUUUUUUCCCCCACACUAAGUUCUCUUUUCUAUCUUUCUCUCUAUUUCCAAUCUUACACCAUGGCCAUCAGUUCAUUUCAGCCUUCCAGUGCUACACCCACUUCUUGGCUGACACACUUCUGCUCUAAGGUGACUGGUUUUCUUGCCAAUUUUCAAAGAGUGGUACUAACCCCCAACCUGCUUUCCGCACCCCGUCCUCUCCGCCAGCGGUACUGGUUGCGCUAACUGUGAGUGUCUUGCGUACUGAUGGACUCAUUUGGUGGCAUGGUUGGCUAACAGCAUGGGGUGGGUGUUCAGCUUGAGACCCAUGUCUGUGUUCAUUUCCCGUGGAGCUGGCAGCCUGGUCUACCCCAAGUGCAUGCCCCGUGUCUCCUCUCUCCCUUGGGUCUGCCUGCUUGCAUGCUUCUCCAGUUGCACCUUCGAAGCCACCUACUUUCUUGGGAGGGUCGACCUUGAUCAUGAGGCAGUACCAUGAGGGGGCCUCUGUCACCUUUGAAAAGAACACUUUUUGAGCAGCCUCAAAAAGCUCAUACAUACCAGCGACUUCUUAAAUUGGCUCUAAUGUAAAGAUUGUUAAUGUCAUUUAUCAAAACCAUAGGUGAUUAUUUGGAGGGAUUUAAAAAACAUAAUUACUCUCAGGCCUCAUCCCAAGCUUGACACAUGCUCUGUAGGUUGAACACAUAAUCACAAAUAUUCUAGCAAAUCCUGCAUUGGUUGCAGCCUGCACUGUAGACCCAAGGGUUUUGCUGUGGCUCUUCUUAUAUCCCUUGGCUCAUAAAGCCCCAGAUGAUGCCAGAGCUUCGGUUAGAGCCAUCAUCAUCCCAGGCAGGGGUAUCUUUGAGAAAUGACUCAGUUCAGCCCCAGGCCCCUGUGACUCUUCUUAAGGCACACAUUUCUGCUGACUCUCGUACCUGGGGCAGCAGGAUAAUCACCAACAUGCUCUUAAUGAGAAACAACACACCAAGCACAGUGGAGCUGUCCUAGGCAACCCUCGCGGUCUCAGGCUGCAGUGGGUGUCCGUCCUGCAUGCGGCCCAGACCACCCUGACCCCUGGGCCUGCCUGCCUGGCCCUGCAUGCUGCACGCUCACUGCGUUUGUGCAGAUCCUGGCCAGUACGAAGUUGUUGCUCUUGUCUUAUCUUCUCUUACAGAGUCUCCCUCCCUUUAUAGAAUGUCAACCAAAGAGUGCCCUCCUCCCCUCUCAGCCUCCUCUUUAGCUAGCCUCCCCAUCUCAUCACAAAGCAUGUCUGUGACCUUUGGUAAUCAUUUACAGUGCCACAUGGAACCCUGUAUUUUGCACACAGCAAAACAAACAAUGUUUAGCUUUAUUUAUGGUAUUUGAUGCUGUAAAUGGAAAUAAAUAUUGUUCUUUAUAAA